RNAcentral lists this ribosomal RNA (465 nucleotides) under Vreelandella stevensii. Its description in RNAcentral is "partial 16S ribosomal RNA". It matches the Rfam family "Bacterial small subunit ribosomal RNA", at positions 338 to 795 of the family's 1533-position model. The record is from RNAcentral. Lineage: Bacteria; Pseudomonadati; Pseudomonadota; Gammaproteobacteria; Oceanospirillales; Halomonadaceae.
CCUACGGGCGGCAGCAGUGGGGAAUAUUGGACAAUGGGGGCAACCCUGAUCCAGCCAUGCCGCGUGUGUGAAGAAGGCCCUCGGGUUGUAAAGCACUUUCAGUGAGGAAGAACGCCUGGUGGUUAAUACCCAUCAGGAAAGACAUCACUCACAGAAGAAGCACCGGCUAACUCCGUGCCAGCAGCCGCGGUAAUACGGAGGGUGCGAGCGUUAAUCGGAAUUACUGGGCGUAAAGCGCGCGUAGGUGGCUUGAUAAGCCGGUUGUGAAAGCCCCGGGCUCAACCUGGGAACGGCAUCCGGAACUGGCAAGCUAGAGUGCAGGAGAGGAAGGUAGAAUUCCCGGUGUAGCGGUGAAAUGCGUAGAGAUCGGGAGGAAUACCAGUGGCGAAGGCGGCCUUCUGGACUGACACUGACACUGAGGUGCGAAAGCGUGGGUAGCAAACAGGAUUAGAUACCCCGGUAGUC